GCACAGUACAUUCUAUUUUUCGUUUCACAAACUGCAUAGCUUGCGUCGCUAAAGCUUGCAUAGCAUCAUCAGAAAAUGUUUGAGCAUCAGCCAACCAGGAAUAUGACAAGGCCAUGAAUGCCCCACGGGCGCUCAGGCAUCAACCUGAGCCAUGCUCUAAGCGACGGCGCGGAUUGGACAGGACAAGCUAAUUCUGGGAUAGUUUCACUUACACCCAACCACACAAUUCGAAAUCGACGACAAGUCCACAGCAAAGAGGGG
This 261-nucleotide small RNA is filed under the name Histoplasma capsulatum. Its description in RNAcentral is "hypothetical RNA". Lineage: Eukaryota; Fungi; Ascomycota; Eurotiomycetes; Onygenales; Ajellomycetaceae. The record is from RNAcentral. RNAcentral also lists the same sequence under 1 other name.